UGUGCCUGAUUCCUACAUUUAGAGAUCCCUGGCUGAGCCUACACUGCUCUGUGUCCUCAGACCUAGAGAGCCACCUUCAGCCAUCCCAGGUCAGCCUGGCCCUGGGCCAAGCCUGGGGACACCUUCCCCAGCCAGGCCACAGCCCAAUUGCCUUCUCUGAACCUUCAAAUGAGUCAGUGCAGGCACCAUUUCCUCAGGACCCGCUGAAACUCUGAGCAGCAAAGUGUCUUCUGGUUUAUCUGGAGGAAGGAAAAUGACGUCGUGAGGUAAACCGCACAGCCUGAAACCACGAGGCUGAGGGUCCCAGUGAUGUCUGCUUUCCAGCAACAGUCACUCGUGUGCAUGGAGGGGCACAGAGCCCGAGACGUUCUGGUCAGAGGGUGACUGGGAAGACAGAGGGAGAUUUUCAAAUGUGGAACCACAAGAAAGGAUGGACGUCAGAGACCUGAUCUUCAUGUGUAGACGAGGGAGAGGAAGCUGGUGGGCUUUGGCCCUGUACCUUCAACCUCAAAACUACAAAGUUUAUUUGCGGACAGGGUGGGUGUCUCUCCGCCCUGAGGCCUGAGUGGAGGGCUCCCAGGUUCAAGCCCAAACCCCACCUGCUAACUGUGUCACCCUCUGCAAGCUGGUUUCUUCAUCCAUCCAAUGUCCUGCUUCAUCGCGGCAGCAGAGUUCCAGUAAGGAGGGGGAUGCUGGAGCCGGGCAGCCUGCGUGACCUGGGCUAAGCGUUUGUUCUCACUCUGCUUCAGUCCCUUGGCUAUAAAAUGGGAGUGCUAAUAAUAUCUUCUCAUAAGGUCAUUAGGAGACUUAAAUAAGUCAAUGCCGUAAAGUGCUUAGAACAAGGCCUGGCACAUAAUGAGUACUCAGUAAAAGCUAUCAUUCAUUCAUUCACUCAUUCAUCCAUUCCAUCCUGCCUGUUUCCAAAAAGAUUUGAGAUGACUCACAAUGGAAAGCACAAAUAUUAUAGGCUUUUAAGCAAGGUAUAAAGACUACAAGGCUAGGGUUACUCCAGAACCUUGGGCUGAGCAAGCUACUGCAUCUGACCAUCUUGUCCAAAAGGUAGCAAGCUCUUUUCUGAUAAAAAAAAGAAAAAAGAAAAAAGAAAAAGCACACCAGCUUUUCAGGACAAUAUAUUUCCCUGGUUCAAUCUUUUUCAAUGACAUUAAACGAUGCAAGAGGCAGAGCCUCCUCUCACCCUCCCUUCUACCUUUUUGAA
Pteropus alecto (black flying fox) is the source of this 1216-nucleotide long non-coding RNA. RefSeq lists it as uncharacterized. The record is from RefSeq and is a predicted model, not a curated record. NCBI's taxonomy places the organism in Eukaryota, Metazoa, Chordata, Mammalia, Chiroptera, Pteropodidae. The transcript has 3 exons.